This 1542-nucleotide ribosomal RNA is filed under the name Escherichia coli. RNAcentral's name for it is "bacterial SSU rRNA". It matches the Rfam family "Bacterial small subunit ribosomal RNA". Lineage: Bacteria; Pseudomonadati; Pseudomonadota; Gammaproteobacteria; Enterobacterales; Enterobacteriaceae. The record is from RNAcentral.
AAAUUGAAGAGUUUGAUCAUGGCUCAGAUUGAACGCUGGCGGCAGGCCUAACACAUGCAAGUCGAACGGUAACAGGAAGAAGCUUGCUUUUUUGCUGACGAGUGGCGGACGGGUGAGUAAUGUCUGGGAAACUGCCUGAUGGAGGGGGAUAACUACUGGAAACGGUAGCUAAUACCGCAUAAUGUCGCAAGACCAAAGAGGGGGACCUUAGGGCCUCUUGCCAUCGGAUGUGCCCAGAUGGGAUUAGCUAGUAGGUGGGGUAACGGCUCACCUAGGCGACGAUCCCUAGCUGGUCUGAGAGGAUGACCAGCCACACUGGAACUGAGACACGGUCCAGACUCCUACGGGAGGCAGCAGUGGGGAAUAUUGCACAAUGGGCGCAAGCCUGAUGCAGCCAUGCCGCGUGUAUGAAGAAGGCCUUCGGGUUGUAAAGUACUUUCAGCGGGGAGGAAGGGAGUAAAGUUAAUACCUUUGCUCAUUGACGUUACCCGCAGAAGAAGCACCGGCUAACUCCGUGCCAGCAGCCGCGGUAAUACGGAGGGUGCAAGCGUUAAUCGGAAUUACUGGGCGUAAAGCGCACGCAGGCGGUUUGUUAAGUCAGAUGUGAAAUCCCCGGGCUCAACCUGGGAACUGCAUCUGAUACUGGCAAGCUUGAGUCUCGUAGAGGGGGGUAGAAUUCCAGGUGUAGCGGUGAAAUGCGUAGAGAUCUGGAGGAAUACCGGUGGCGAAGGCGGCCCCCUGGACGAAGACUGACGCUCAGGUGCGAAAGCGUGGGGAGCAAACAGGAUUAGAUACCCUGGUAGUCCACGCCGUAAACGAUGUCGACUUGGAGGUUGUGCCCUUGAGGCGUGGCUUCCGGAGCUAACGCGUUAAGUCGACCGCCUGGGGAGUACGGCCGCAAGGUUAAAACUCAAAUGAAUUGACGGGGGCCCGCACAAGCGGUGGAGCAUGUGGUUUAAUUCGAUGCAACGCGAAGAACCUUACCUGGUCUUGACAUCCACGGAAGUUUUCAGAGAUGAGAAUGUGCCUUCGGGAACCGUGAGACAGGUGCUGCAUGGCUGUCGUCAGCUCGUGUUGUGAAAUGUUGGGUUAAGUCCCGCAACGAGCGCAACCCUUAUCCUUUGUUGCCAGCGGUCCGGCCGGGAACUCAAAGGAGACUGCCAGUGAUAAACUGGAGGAAGGUGGGGAUGACGUCAAGUCAUCAUGGCCCUUACGACCAGGGCUACACACGUGCUACAAUGGCGCAUACAAAGAGAAGCGACCUCGCGAGAGCAAGCGGACCUCAUAAAGUGCGUCGUAGUCCGGAUUGGAGUCUGCAACUCGACUCCAUGAAGUCGGAAUCGCUAGUAAUCGUGGAUCAGAAUGCCACGGUGAAUACGUUCCCGGGCCUUGUACACACCGCCCGUCACACCAUGGGAGUGGGUUGCAAAAGAAGUAGGUAGCUUAACCUUCGGGAGGGCGCUUACCACUUUGUGAUUCAUGACUGGGGUGAAGUCGUAACAAGGUAACCGUAGGGGAACCUGCGGUUGGAUCACCUCCUUA